This 28-nucleotide non-coding RNA is filed under the name Mus musculus (house mouse). Lineage: Eukaryota; Metazoa; Chordata; Mammalia; Rodentia; Muridae. The record is from RNAcentral.
CACCUUCUAAGAGUUCUUGGGCACAUUC